UAUUGUAUUAUCUGCAUUUACUCGCUUAUUUAUUGCUAUCUACUCAUGCCACAGUUGACCUAGUGGUGUACUUCGCCACUCUCGGCGGCUUACCCACUGGGAACUAUUGUUUAAUAGUUCUCACGCCCUCUUUGUUGUUGUUUUCACAGAGCCUUCCACCGCGGGAAAGGCUAGGGUUCUUGGCGAGGGGUCUGCGACUAGCUAGAGCCUUUUUGGACGUGUACUAGACGAUCUCCACCAGUUUAUGUAGUUUAGUACAGAGAUGUAUAUUACAUUGUUGUAAAUUGUACUAUAUUCUUAUUUACUGUAUUAAGGUUUUGGAUUGUAUAAGUUUAAACUUUUAAGUCGUGCUCUGAUUACCUGGUUAGAAUUAUAUGCUUUUACUAUAUGGUUUGUAGACGCCUUGUGUAUACUUGAGUUGUGGUGUACACGGCGGGUCUGUGCACGCGACCGGAUAUGCUUCCGCUGGUACCCGGGCGUGACAGAUCGGAUACUCAGAUGCAGACUGGGCUGGUUCUGCAGAUGAUCGGAAAAGUACUAGUGGAGAUUGUUUCUAUCUUGGACAUUGUCUCGUUGCAUGGCACAGCAAGAAACAGAACUGUAUUGCACUAUCUACUGCCGAGGCUGAGUAUAUUUCUGCUGGUAGUUGCUCCACUCAGUUGUUGUAGAUGAAGAGCUUACUGAGCGACUAUCGGAUCCCUUCCACCACUCUUACUAUUCUUUGUGACAACACAAGUGCAAUCAAUAUUUUUAAAAACCCUGUUUUACAUUCUAGAACAAAACAUAUUGAACUCAGAUAUCACUUUUUAAGAGAAUUGGUCGAAUCAAAUGUUCUUCAUCUUGAAUACAUUUCUACUAAAAAUCAGCUUGCUGACAUUUUGACAAAGCCUUUAGAUCAAAAACGUUUUCUACAUUUGCGAAAGGCUAUUGGUAUGAAUCCUUCAGUCUAGAUGUAGUCUAUGGGCCAUAGAUCUUGCACAAACUUUUUGCAUAUCUCAUGUUUUGCAUGAUCAUUUUUGAGAUAUCCAUGACAUGAUAUUUAUUGUUUUAUAAUAUGUUUAGCUUGGUCAAUGUCAAUUUUAUUCUCUGUUGUCAUUUUUUUUUUGAGAAGAUUGAUUCAUUCAAAUUCUGUUUUAGUAUAACUUGCAAAAUUCAACAUCUCAUUCUUUGAACUUUAAACAUUGUUUUUGUCUUGUUUGAUUAUGAGCUAUGAAAUGAAUAACAAUUUCCCUAUCUUCGAAAUUUUGAUACUAUUUUCAGCUUGGGGUUGCACUAAUUUAGGGGGAGUCUUUCCGGUGAUUAAUAUUAAAAAAAAAAAAGAUGUGGAAAGAGUUACAUCCCUUGUGGGAGUGUGAAAACUACCACCACAUGGAGGAAAGAGCUACCACCCCGGUCGUACGGUCAGUGUGUGCAGCUACCACAUGUUUGUUUAAAGUAUCUCUAUUGUUUAAUAAGGCUAAAUAUCUGAGGCUGUCUGGCAAUAUAUAUAUAUAUAAAAAUAAAUAAAUAAAUAAAUAAAUAAAAAAUUUUUAAAUGAGGUGCUUUGGAGAUGAUAAUAGUUGAUAUAAGGUGGAUUGUGAAAAGAUGCUCAAAGAGCCACUCCCUCGUCGAAUAGCGUGCAUAACUCAAUUUGAUCAUACUAUCUUAAUUUCCUGGCUAUGGGAUCUUCUUAUUCCUCUUUUUGGCAACUUUGACGACAAUACAAUGCAAUUAACUUUUAGAUCAUGACUGAUAUGUGGAUUUUCGAAGUAUACACAUCCAGAAUUUAAAGCAUCUCUCGGUUCAACAAAUCUUGACACUUUGAGUAUUUUUGAAAUUGACUUUGUUUCUCAUAUUUAUAAAAUUUAUAUUAAAUGUCAUUGGGAACUCAUCGUGAUUAAUUUUUGAUGCUGAGUUAAGUUAGAUUUUUCAUAGAAAUUUUUUUAAAAAAAAGGGGGGGGUCAUUUUUUUUUGGUACGGGGACCGGUCUCCCGUGUUGAAGGACCGGUCCCUCCGCCCAAUCGUUUAUAACCUUUCGGUCAGGUCUCUCUCUCUUACUUUACCAUUUUUCUCUGAGACUUCUCCCACGACUUGCCUAGGUCUCCAGAGGGAUUUUGCUUUGCUCCUUACUGGUUUUCUUUGCUUUGUUGGUAAGUUUUCGAUUUAGGGCUUAUUUUUACAUACCUAUUCCGAGAAUAUGUUUUGGUUAGGAUUUGAUCUGAAAUUUUUGUUGGGUCUCUUGUUUAUUGACGUUGAUCUUUGUUAUAUUCUUGUGAUCCUCGAUUCCUUCAUGCUUUACUUCAUUCUCUUGAUGCAUUUCUUUGGAUUUUCCAUGUGGCCCUAGAUUUCUCUAGUUUUUCCUGUUUUUUUUUUAAAAAAAGACUGAAUGAUAUUUGUGUUUUUCUUUUAACGUGUUGAAACAGGGAUCUCUUUCGAAAACAAAAAUGUAUUCACUUUUGCUUGUGAUUGUGUUCCUCAUGGCUGGUGGUGGUCGUGGUGGUAAGCGACAUCGUUCUUCAACUCAACAACCUGUAGAGCCACCGGUUGAGGAUAUCGACAGUGAAUAUGCUCCUGAUGAUGAAUCGGAAACUGAGUUGACAGAUUGGGAGGCACUUUCUCCGGAAGUAUUGUCGAAGAAGAAAGGGAAAGAACAAGUUGUUUCGGGAAAAGAAAAAGGAAAGGGCAGUGCAAAAGGAAAAGGAAAAGAGAAGUUGACGUAUUCUCGUAGUAAGAAGAAGAGUGGGGGUAUUGAAAUUCGUGAACCUACCACUGAUUUACCUCGCCGCAGUGUUCAAGGAGGCAACGUUGAUCCGAAGAGACACUCUAUGUACUCUUCGAAGAAUUGUAUUGGUGAGCGCCACGUUGGAGUUCAGAACUUAAUGGAGCGAGUUCCUGGUCUUCAAGCUCUGUUUGAGAACGGGGUCUCUACGAAAUUAGCGACUUUCCCGAACAAACUAGAUAUUGUUUGGAAUUAAUUCGGGAGUUCUAUAUGAGAGCGGGUUAUCUAGAGGAUUCCGAUAGUGGACCAUACAUCUUUAAGACCUCUGUGCGUGGCAUUGAAUUGACGAUUACUCCUGAAACGAUUGCUUCUGUUCUUGGUAUGCAGGCUCGGACUGAUGGAAUUGAAUAUUUGCAUGCUGGUUUUGAUGCGGUUCAAGAUUGGCGUCGGGUUAUGAAUGGAGUAUGUUUGCCCAACAUUGAACCCAAUGGCAUUUGUGUGAUGUCAAAGGAGUUGAAGAUCGAGUAUCGUUUUCUGAAUUUUGUUGUCUGCUACAAUAUUAUGCCGUUGGCUAACACCAAGGUUGUGCGUUGGGAUCGUAUGUUAUAUAUGUAUUUGGUGGGUCAGCUGACGGUGGUUCGUGAUAGGAAAAUUAAUCUUAAUGUUCCAUUUUUGGUAUGGCGACGCAUGGCUAAAGACAUCAAGACUUCAAGUCAGUCAGAAAGGUUGCUUUAUCCAUUAAUCAUCAUGAGGAUUCUGCGGAUAUUUGGUGUUGACACGAGAUGUUCGUCUUAUGAACAUAGUUUGGGCGUGAUUAGUGAAACUACAUUCAUCAAGUCUUCGGUGCAGCUUCGUCCUCAGUCACAGCGCUCUCCUCCGUGACAUUCGUCUCAACAGCAUUCCACUCCACCUCCUAGUUCUUCUCGUCCUUCUGCCGAGGUGUCUGAAGAAGAAAUGUCGGUUUCCUCUGUUUUUCGAGAACAACAGCGGCUAUCUCUAGAGCAAGAAUGAAUCUCGGGCGAACUUCGCAGGAUUUCUGACGAUCAGGCUCGUAUGGUUGCAUAACAGGAACGCCUUACUCGGCACGUGAGCAAGCUUCGUCGAAUGAGGAAAGCAAUUUUUGACAAACUGGGUUGUUGUAGUGCGGAUAUUCCUGAGCCAAGUGCUGUCGAUCGUUUUGGCGUUUUCUUGACAAAAAGGAGGAGAUGAUGAUGAUGCUGAUUUGCUUUUGCUUGAACUUUGCACUUUGCACUUUGCUUUUUACUUGUAUUCUGCUUGAACUUUGCUUUUGCUUGAACUUUGCACUUUGUUUUUUUUUACUUGCUUGAACUUUGUAACUAACUCUGAAACUCUUGACUUGUAACUGAAUUCAUUGCAAAUCUUGACGAAGUGUGUGGAGAUUGUUUUGCAGGGUAUUUCAAGACUUCGAGACUCCAUAUCGUGUCUUAAGUCAUAGAGUUUGUAUUAGGUUGUGACACGUAUUUUUGUUUUUAUUGGAUCGAUCAUGCAGAAGAUUAUUGUUUGGUGAUUGCAGUAAUCUUCUUAUUUUAUUUUUUGGAUGAGAAGUGUAAUAUUCUUGUAUUUUGUCACGAAAUCGCCAAAGGGGGAGAUUGUUAAGGAUUUUAUUAAGUUGGCGAUUUUCGUGGAGUUUUGGUCGGAGUCUCGAAGGUUCAGAAGACGAAGGUUGAAGAAAGAAUUGGAGUUUGACAAUCAAAGACUCUUGGGAUCUCAGGUAUGAUUAUGAAUAAUUUGUGGUGAGUUUUUAUUGUUAAAAGGUAUUUAGAAGACUAAGUUUCUAUUCCUAUCAAACUAAAGUUUUCAAAAUUUCUCAGGGGUCAGGGACCGGUCCUUGAUCAGAGGGACCGGACCCAUCAAGCUUCUCUGCGUAGAAGUUUUGGGAGACCGGUCUCUGAUCUUGAGGACCGGUUCCCGUACGAGGUUUUACUUGUUGCGCAGGGAGAGACCGGUCUCUAAAUUAAGGACCGGUCCCCGUACGCUUGUUUUCACAGCUACGCAGCGAAGGACCGGACCUCACCUUGGAGGACCGGUCCCCCAAGGACCGGUCUCCUCGGGAGGACCGAACCCUGAGACCGUCGUCAGUUUUUAAUAUUGAAUUUUUGGAAUCCUAGUCUAUCUAGAAGUCUUCUAAACCUAUAAAUAUGAUAUGAGGAUCUUCAUAUAAUGAGAGUUGAGAAAAAUAACCUUUUAGAAACCCUAACGGCUUGAUUCGAAGUUUCGAUCUAUGUUUUAAACAUCAAGCUUUAGAUUACCGAUUUGAUUCUUUGUUUUUGAUUAAAAACUUCUUUAAGGAUCGAAUUGGUGAUGUUAUAAUUAGGGUUUCUCCUCAUAUUAUAUGUGCUUUCAAAGAUCUUAAAUCACCACAAAUUGUUAAAUCCCUACGAGCUUCGGAUGGAGCGUUAACGUGUGGAUCUCGCGUGAAGACCGUGGAUUCGGUGGGCGUUUCGUGGAAUCGAGGAGUGUGCGGCUACAAGGAGUUGCAGUGUGAUCGGUUGGAGGAUUCCAAGCGAUCGAGGACUGGCAAAGACAAUCUACAACGAGGAUUCGGUAUUUUGAGUCUUGUAUUUUUGAUAAAUCACUUGUACUCAUGUUUUCUUAGUGGAUUUCUUUGUGUGAUCGGUCCCGUGGGUUUUUCUCUCUGAUUUGGAGUUUUCCUACGUUAAUUCUCGGUGUGCUAAUUUUAUUUUCCGCAUUUACAUUAUAUUCGCAUCGAGUUUAGUGUUUUUUUUUUUUCGUUUGCACCUAUUCACCCCCCUCUAGGUGUUUUCACCUUUUAGAUCCUCAGGAUCCAUAUCUGUCAGUUCGUGGUGUUCAUCGACGACAUUUUGGUUUAUUCCCGAAGUGAUGCGGAUCACGAGGAACAUUUGAGACUUGUACUUCAGAUACUUUCGGAAAAGGAGCUUUAUGUCAAGCUGAAAAAGUGUGAAUUUUGGCUUCGAGAGGUAGCCUUCCUUGGACAUUUGAUUUCGGUAUCGGGUAUUGCCGUGGAUCCUACGAAGAUUGAGGCUAUCAAGGAUUGGCCGAGACCGACGAGCGUCACGGAAAUACGGAGUUUUCUUCGAUAUGGUUACUUAGGUGCUUGUCUGCGACCACGAAUGACGCACCUCGCACGGUUUAUCUUAUUUUCAAUUUCCCGUGGGGUAGUAUUCAUGAUUCAGAUAAAUAUUUGAAUAUGUAUGGGAAUCAGGUAUUGUGGAUUCAUGGCUUCCAAUAAACGCAAGCGUCUAUUGUUAAUUACUCCUUCAAAGUGUUAGGGCACCUUCAAUUAAGAGACCUCUGUAAUACUGAAAUAGACUGAAAUUGAAUAAAAGAUGGAUUUUAUAACAUAAUCCAUUGUAUAGUUACAUGGCUUAACCAGGGGCAUACCCCCAGUGUAUAUGAAUGAACGACAUGAAUAUGACGGUUGAUUGAAUUUGAUUCUGAACCAAAGUAUAUGAUCAGAUUGAUUUGAUUGGGCUCUAUAUGUUUCAGUGUUCAACAAUAUUGUUCAUCCUAAGAUGAAAGGUUGAUUAAAUUCCAUAUAUAUAUUAAGAUUUAAUCAGAUUUNUGGUUUGUAGACGCCUUGUGUAUACUUGAGUGGUGGUGUACACGGCGGGUCUGUGCACGCGACCGGAUAUGCUUCCGCUGGUACCCGGGCGUGACAACAAGCUUCUAGAUAUAACUACUAGAAGAGAUUAACUCAAAACCCUAGCUUAAACCAUAAGAACUCACCUUGAGUUCAAGUUCUCUCCUCUACUUCUUGCACUAGAGCUAGCUUCACCCUUAAGCAAGCUCCUUCUCAUCCAAAACCCUCUCUUGGCCCAAACCCUAGUGAGAGAAGGAGAGAAAGGGAGAGAGAGUAAAAACCUAAAGAGAGAAUGAGAGGUUUCUCCUUUGUUGUUGGUGUGAGGGAAAUGAGAGAGGAAAACCACUUAGCACCCUCAAAUAACAUUGCCCUAUGCACAAUUGCAUCUAGCCCCCUGUAAUAUACCGAAAAAUUCGGAAAAUAAAUAUUGAACUUUAGUCAAAUUGACCAAAGUGCGAGGAUGGUACACUUCGGAAAGUCCGAAGGUGUUAAAAUGAUCAAAAACGUGUUAUGGGAGGUUUUCGAGAGCUAGGGAAUCAAAAAUCUGCAAACUGCAGCUUUUGAGCUCUCGGGGACCGGUCCCUGGUGGGAGAGACUGGUCCCCGAACACGUAUGAAAUGAGACAGCCGAAAAAUCGGCUAAGUCCUGGAGGAUCAGCUCUCGGGAACCGGUCUCUGUCUGAGAGACCGGUCCCCCGGAGACCGGUCCCACCAGAGAGGGACCGGAUGCAUUGCGCGCGGCAGCUCUGGCUGCGCAGGGUGGACCUUCGGGGACCGGUCCCUGCUCGGGGAGACCGGUCUCNAAAGGUAUCGCGCCUUAGUCAGAGGCCACCACAGUUGGGUUCAUUUUGUAGUAAAGUACCCUAUGAUCAUCUUUUGUACUUGAUGAUGAAUGAUGUAAAGAAAGGAAUGUAAUGUGUAUUUUGAGGUAAAUGUGAUGUAAGAAAGAAAUGAUGAAACGAAAUGUAAGGAAUUCGAAAAAUUACAAGUUGGAUGUAUGUAUAUGAUCUAAAUUGAAUCAUACUACAAGUGAAUGUUUAGUUUUCCUUUCUUUCACUAAUGGCUAUUGCUUACCCUCGUGUAAGCCGUUUGUGUAUGUUUCCGCUAGUGCUUUUCUCUAUGAUGAAAAUAUACAUGUGAUGAGCCUUGGGCGGACAGGGGAAACUCUGUCCGUUCGGCGUCUGUUUGACAUGCUCGGGUCGGGCCAAAUUGGCAUCGGUCCCGGGGCGUGACACCCCCUCACACAACCAGAGCUGACCAUCUUUGAAAAUUUUCGCGUACGGGGUUCGGACCCGACUAGCAGGGUCCGGAUCCCGAGAGCAUUCCCAGCACGAAAUGGCUUGGAAAUUUUCCAGUUUGCUCUCCAAGGUCCAUAAACCCUACAAAUACACUCCAAAACACUCGGAGUGCACAACGGACCACUCUAACUUGUCCCACUCCGCACUUCGGUCAAUUCGACUAAAGUUUGGUAUAUUAUAUUCUCCAUCCCUUAAAACUAGUUUCGUCCGUGAAACUUAAACUCAUACCUUAGCUUACAUGCUCGAAGUGUUAAGGAUUUUGUAUUGGCAAGUUUCGUGAAGUGAGUCGGAGUCUUGAAGGAUCGAAGCGGAUUGAUAAAGAUCGAAGAAACCAAGACUUCGAAGAAAUCAGAAAAUAUCUCACAACGUGAAUCACGAUGCUCAGGUAAAGGUUUAAUUCAUGUUAUGGUGAUUCAUACUUAGUUAUAGGCAUUAGAAUCAUUAAUACAAAGUUUAGUUGAUUAGAAAGUGCUUCGGAACUUUGCGAAACCCGAAACAAUGCAAAACACAAAAAAUUGCAUUGUGUAUCGGUACAGCAAUUGACCCCGUACCGGUAUAGCCAUCAACUUUGGCUUCGUAUUUUCGUUCCGUCAUUGUGUACCGGUGACAGCCUUUCGUGUAUCGGUACACAAUGUAAAAUCGUGAAAACUUUCUAAUCCGACUCCAAUUGAUUCUAAAGUCUAUAAAUAAGCUAUUGGGGUUCUCUAACAUAUGAAGGAUCACGAAAAUACAUGUUUGAGAAACCCUAGAGGCUCGGAUUUUAUCUAAAACCUAUUUUCUACAUAAAGCCUCUUUUAGGUCAAAUCGAGAUAUUGAAUUUUCAUAUCUAUAUGUCGAUUUGAUCUCCGUUUCGCUUGGAGUUUCUUUCCCUGGUUUUCAUCGAUACUCUAAGCAAAGGAUCAUCAUAAUCAUGAUGCUCUUCAUGAACGGCGUCGUGGAUUCGGCGUGAACGAAGGCGGUUCGUGGAUUCGGAUCGUGGGCUCGUGGAUUCGAGUGGCGUCGUGGAUUCGGCGUGAUUGAAGCUUCGUGGAUUCGAAGUGGAGGCGUUCGUGGAUUCGAACGUGAGGGCGUGGACAACCCGGAGGAUUGCGCGAAGAUUCGUAAGAGGUUAAAAGAGGUCCAGUCCGUGGAGUCGGUAAUCACCUUGUAAUCUUUUCUCUUAGUGAAUUAUUUUUUCGCGUGUUGGUCCCGUGGGUUUUUCUCCAAGUUGGAGUUUUCCCACGUAAAUCUCGGUGUGCUUUUUAUUUUCCGCAUUUAUUUUUAUUGCAUCGAGAUUUGUGGUUUUUGGCCGGUACACCUAUUCACCCCCCUCUAGAUGAUAGAUACAAUCUAGAUAGAUCCUUGGGUUCCUCAAAACUUUCAAUUGGUAUCAGAGAGGGAUCUAGAUAAAUUGUUAUCUAAUGGCCGAAGGCGGAAACAUUAAUCGACCUCCGCUCUUCGACGGCACUAAUUAUGCCUAUUGGAAAGUUCGCAUGAGAGCUUUUCUAAUUGCAAUCGAUGAGCGGGUAUGGCAAUCCAUAGAAUUUGGAUGGAAACAUCCCAUUGAAAAAGUCGAUAAUGUUGAAACGCCUAAACAACGAAACAAGUGGACGAAAGAAUAAAACGAGACAUCUUCGUUUAACGGCAAGGGCAUAAACGCUUUAUUUAAUGCAUUGUCUCAAACGGAGUUUACUCGUGUUUCGGCAUGCGAAACGACAAAGGAAAUUUGGGAUACUCUACAAGUUACGCAUGAAAGAACAAGCUUAGUAAAGGUCCAAAAACUGCAAAUGCUAACAAGCAAGUUUGAUUCUAUUUCUAUCGAUGAAAACGAGACCUUUACCGAGUACUAUACACGUCUACAAGACGUUGUGAAUACAUGUGCUAACUUGGGAGAGAAAAUCCCGGAUUCAAAGGUUAUUAGAAAGAUUCUUCGAACUCUUCCGGAACGCUUUCGGGCAAAGGUUGCCGUGAUCGAGACGGUUAAGCAUCCGGACGAAAUGAAAGUCGAAGAAUUAGUAGGUGCUUUGCAAACUUAUGAGAUGACUUUUCCUACUAGUCAAUCUUCUUCCAAGUCUUUCUCUAAAAGCACAGGGGUUGCGUUGAAAUCGACGAAAGAGGAAGACGGAGACUCAAAUUCCGAUGGAGAAAUCUCAAUUGCUGACUUCGAACAUCAAUUGGCGCUUCUAACAAAAAAGUUUCGUCAGAAUUUCCGAAAGAAGAACAAUUCGGACAAGGCUACAUCGUCUAAGCAACAAACGUUUUCUAAAUCUUCUACAUCUAAAGAGAAGAAGCGUGCAAAGGCUUCGAAAGAAAAGAAUGAAUUUGAAGGCGAAAUCCGAUGCGACAAGUGCAAAGGCUACGGUCACAUCGCAACGGAUUGUCCUUCAAAGAAAUCAUAUACUAAGAAGGCAUUGCAAGCAAAGACGUGGGAUGAUACAACUUCAAGUGAUUCAAGCUCAAGUGACGAAGAAAAGAAUGGAAAUCUUGCUUUAUUUGCUACAUCUACCUUGCCUUCGUCUAACAUUGUAUGUUUAUCCUCUAUUGCUACUAAUUCCAAUAUUUCUCUUUCUUCAUAUGAUUCUUCGAGCGACAAUAGCGAAAGUAAGGAGGAAUCAAACGACGACGACAUAGCGGAAGCAUACAAUCAACUUCUUAUUGAAUCAAAGAAGAUGGCCAAACUAAAUAAGAAGUUGAGGCGUCGUUUAUUAAAUCUCGAAGAGGAAAACAAUAACUUGAAGGUCAUGAAUAUAGGCCUCGAGGAGGAAAGGGAAUCAAUUGUGAAAAAUAAUUCGGACCUCCAAGAGAAGCUUGAUGAAGCGGAAUUAACGAUUAACUCUUAUAAAGAUAAAGUUGGAUUUUUGGAGCAACAAUAUGAGGAAUCGCAUACAUCCAACAAAUUAUUGACCGAUCAAGUUCGUCAACUCCAAUCCGAUCUUCAACAAUUUUCUUCGGGAUCAAAGAAGUUGGACAAAAUGCUUGGAUUGGGUCAAACGAGCAAAUUGGGUCUUGGAUAUGAACGGGCAUAUGUUGAGAAGGAUCAAACGGCGACAUCUAAAGUCUCAACAACUUUAAUAGGCAAAGUGUGUCAUCGAUGUGGCAUCAAAGGACACAUCAAAAGGAAUUGCCCAAACAAAGAAAAGAAGAAUCAAUCGGCAACUUCUAAUCUUCAAGUAGCACCCUCUACUACUCGACUUCCCUCACCGAUUUCAAAGGAAAAACAAUUAAGUCGAGCACCUCGAGGGAACCAGUUUUCUAAUGCAAAAGGACAAGUUCAACCAACGCAUCAAGCAACCAAACGACCAAUGGUUGAUCCAAAAUCAAAGCAAGCCAUGCCGAAUGUCAAGAAGCCGAGAGAACACAAAAUCCGACAGGUUUGGAUUCGGAAAGGUGAUAUCUUUCCUUGUUCUUCAUCUUAGUUUGUUUUGAUUGUUUAUGUAAUGCUUUGUUUGGUGCUUGUUGCAUAUUUUUGUUCAUUGCAUUACAUGAUAAUUUUCGUGUGUGAAAGUUGUUUUUAAAAUUGAUUUGAGGGAAGGUGUUUUGGAAUUCAAAAAUUUUUUAGAAAGGAGAUGAUUGAGAAUCAUUUUUUUUGAGGAGAGAAAUUUUUCAAAGUUGUUUAAACGGUAUUUAACUUGAUAAUCAUAUUAAGUUAAAUUCAUAUUAAAUUAUCGUUUUUACUCC
This 11235-nucleotide long non-coding RNA is filed under the name Ananas comosus (pineapple). RNAcentral describes it as "long non-coding RNA (ACOM_LNC028161)". Lineage: Eukaryota; Viridiplantae; Streptophyta; Magnoliopsida; Poales; Bromeliaceae. The record is from RNAcentral.